UAGGGAAUCUUCGGCAAUGGACGAAAGUCUGACCGAGCAACGCCGCGUGAGUGAAGAAGGUUUUCGGAUCGUAAAACUCUGUUGGUAGAGAAGAACGUUGGUGAGAGUGGAAAGCUCAUCAAGUGACGGUAACUACCCAGAAAGGGACGGCUAACUACGUCGCA
This 164-nucleotide ribosomal RNA is filed under the name uncultured bacterium. RNAcentral's name for it is "partial 16S rRNA". It matches the Rfam family "Bacterial small subunit ribosomal RNA", at positions 355 to 510 of the family's 1533-position model. The record is from RNAcentral.